UGGGACAUUAUAUGCGGUUGCUAUGAACAUGGAACGAUAAUUCAUUUUGUGUGAUUGAAGACAAAUUUCUGAGAUGACAUGAUUGAUUAUGGAGCUACAAUGCUCGAGCGCAUGGAUUUGGAUCCCUCCCUCCGGAAUCACGUGAUCGCCUAUUUAACCUUGUGUUGUCUAUGUGCAAUGUUAAGGGACACCAGGUAGGUGUUGGUACGUGGAGGUAUCAAUUGAGGUAAAGUUUGAAUCUUUAUCAUAUAUAGACCUUCCAGACUCAUGUAGAAGCAUUCAUACAUAUGCUAACUAUUGCAUAUCAAAUUUAUAUAAAGAAUUGGUGCCUUGAUAAUGCCUAGGAUUUUGAUUCCUUAAUUGGGCAUAACAACAUAGGCUUUUGAAUGCUUAUUUGGACAUAACAAGCUAUUUUGUAUGUUGACUUUUGAUUCCUUAUUUGUACUACUGGUUUGUGGAUUGUUG
This 465-nucleotide long non-coding RNA is filed under the name Nicotiana benthamiana. Its description in RNAcentral is "long non-coding RNA (NBEN_LNC004530)". Lineage: Eukaryota; Viridiplantae; Streptophyta; Magnoliopsida; Solanales; Solanaceae. The record is from RNAcentral.